This 157-nucleotide ribosomal RNA is filed under the name uncultured bacterium. RNAcentral describes it as "partial 16S ribosomal RNA". It matches the Rfam family "Bacterial small subunit ribosomal RNA", at positions 1345 to 1500 of the family's 1533-position model. The record is from RNAcentral.
CAGGUCAGCAUACUGCCGUGAAUACGUUCCCGGGCCCUUGUACACACCGCCCGUCACACCAUGAGAGUUGGGAAUACCCGAAGCCUGUGAGCCAACCGUAAGGGGGCAGCAGUCGAAGGUAGAAUCAAUGAUUGGGGUGAAGUCGUAACAAGGUAGC